Molecule: ribosomal RNA, 455 nt
Filed under: uncultured Alphaproteobacteria bacterium
Lineage: Bacteria; Pseudomonadati; Pseudomonadota; Alphaproteobacteria
Description: bacterial SSU rRNA
Rfam family: Bacterial small subunit ribosomal RNA
Source: RNAcentral
UGGGUUAGUCCGCACGAGCGCAACCUCAUUUUUAGUUGCCAUCAGGUUAUGCUGGGCACUCUAAAGAAACUGCCGGUGAUAAGCUGGAGGAAGGUGGGGAUGACGUCAAGUCCUCAUGGCCCUUACGGGCUGGGCUACACACGUGCUACAAUGGUGGUGACAGUGGGAAGCAAUUUCGUAAGAAUAUGCAAAUCUCCAAAAACCAUCUCAGUUCGGAUUGGACUCUGCAACUCGAGUCCAUGAAGUUGGAAUCGCUAGUAAUCGUAGAUCAGCGUGCUACGGUGAAUACGUUCUCGGGCCUUGUACACACCGCCCGUCACGCCAUGGAAGUUGGUUUUACCUUAAACCGGUGCGCUAACCGCAAGGAUGCAGCCGUCCACGGUAGGGUUAACAACUGGGGCGAAGUCGUAACAAGGUAGCCGUAGGGGAACCUGCGGCUGGAUCACCUCCUUUCU